Rhea pennata is the source of this 1194-nucleotide long non-coding RNA. RefSeq lists it as uncharacterized. The transcript is spliced from 3 exons. The record is from RefSeq and is a predicted model, not a curated record. Lineage: Eukaryota; Metazoa; Chordata; Aves; Rheiformes; Rheidae.
UUUGGGGCAGAAAACGUGAGAUCUUUGGUUUGUAGAGCAAAAUGCUGCAGAAGGCAAUAAUGCAUAGGGAAGUUUGGAGAUUAGGAACACAGAAGAAAAGAGUAUGCUCAGAGGUAACACCGAGCUGCCUUACAGACUGCAAAAGCCCCAAGCUUCUUGGAUUUCAUUACCAAAUGUACUUUGGUCAGCCUGCAGUGGGCAGGCCUACACUGUGCUGAAAGACUUGAAAUGUAAGGCAGAUGCCUAUGAGGACUACAGCGAGUAGGUUGUCAAGGUUUCUUAUAAGUAGCAUUGUCUAGCAGACAGAAGGAUACAAGAAGCUCAUCUGCUGUUCAGCAAGAUAGUUGUCAGUGUUCCCAAAAUCAUUCCAGACCUGGGAGAUACUCUCUGCAAACAAAAGCACUGAAGAAGAAUUCUUAAUGAACUCGGACUCUGUAAAGUAUACAGAAAACAAACUAAUGGAAGCUGAAUCUUACUGAGGCCAAGACCACAGAUCUCCAAGUCACAUAAUUUUCAGUUGCCAACAGCAUGAGGUUGAACACUAACAAAAGUUAACAUCAAUCAUUGAAACAAGAUUCAAGUUAUGAAGAAGGACAUUACAGAAUAUAGUAAAUAUUUAAGAUGAGGCUAUUGAAGGUACAAACUCAUAGGAUGGAAAAUAAACAAUAACUAGGGGUUCAAACGGUGUCUCAGGACAAUCAGGAAUUUUUUUUUUCCAACUAAAAGCACAUUUUUUUGCUGCCACAUAUGAUGCUUUGCACAAUCCUCUUCAGUGAUGUGUGCUACAUUAUCUUCCAAAGUGAUGCACUGCCGUAUUAUCAUGGUAGUCUUGGAUGAUAACUGGGCCAUAGCGUAUGUCUGCUAGGUUCCACUAUUAGAUUAGAGAUGCCAGAGCAACAUGACACACAACAUUAAGCUACUAUAUGUCUACCAAAAUAGUUCAAAUUUGCUUUGAAAGAAAUGUUAUGGGCUGAAUCAGGGAUCAUCCAUUGGGGAACCUCUGUCUUGAUGGAAAAACAGUAAAACACCAUGAGCAGAACACACAUAUACACAGUUGUUCAUUCUGCCUCUCUGCUUAUUUUGCAAUACUCUGAUUUAAGUCACUACAUGCAGUUUGGUUGCAUGUGUUGCAGCAGAUAUAAACCAGCAACUGCUAUCAAGAAACAUGUGCUCUUUGGAUUGCACAAUAUGUCC